AACGAACGCUGGCGGCAGGCUUAACACAUGCAAGUCGAGCGCCCCGCAAGGGGUGCGGCAGACGGGUGAGUAACGCGUGGGAAUCUACCCAUCCCUACGGAAUAGCUCCGGGAAACUGGAAUUAAUACCGUAUACGCCCUACGGGGGAAAGAUUUAUCGGGGAUGGAUGAGCCCGCGUUGGAUUAGCUAGUUGGUGGGGUAAAGGCCUACCAAGGCGACGAUCCAUAGCUGGUCUGAGAGGAUGAUCAGCCACAUUGGGACUGAGACACGGCCCAAACUCCUACGGGAGGCAGCAGUGGGGAAUAUUGGACAAUGGGGGCAACCCUGAUCCAGCCAUGCCGCGUGAGUGAUGAAGGCCUUAGGGUUGUAAAGCUCUUUCACCGGGGAAGAUAAUGACGGUACCCGGAGAAGAAGCCCCGGCUAACUUCGUGCCAGCAGCCGCCGUAA
RNAcentral lists this ribosomal RNA (447 nucleotides) under uncultured bacterium. RNAcentral's name for it is "partial 16S ribosomal RNA". It matches the Rfam family "Bacterial small subunit ribosomal RNA", at positions 29 to 523 of the family's 1533-position model. The record is from RNAcentral.